RNAcentral lists this non-coding RNA (242 nucleotides) under Enterococcus phoeniculicola. RNAcentral describes it as "T-box sequence". It matches the Rfam family "T-box leader". From Rfam's summary of the family: Uncharged tRNA acts as the effector for transcription antitermination of genes in the T-box leader family. The record is from RNAcentral. Lineage: Bacteria; Bacillati; Bacillota; Bacilli; Lactobacillales; Enterococcaceae.
AAAAAUACGUAGAUAUGGAAAGUAUUUAAUAGAGAAAAGAUUAGCAGAGAGCCCUGUUUGCUGAAAAUGGGUGAUCUUUUCAUUAAAGAAAAUGGCCAUUGAGUAUUCAUUGCCGAACAAAUAAUUCUGUAAGGUAGUGACGGAUGCAUUCGUUAACAUGCUAGAGUAUGAAGUACUCGAAGAGGGAUAUUCUGCGAAGAAUAUCUAAAUAGAGGUGGUAACACGCGAAAAGCGUCCUCAAG